AGCGAACGCUGGCGGCGUGCCUAACACAUGCAAGUCGAACGUGAAAGGGAGCAAUCCCAAGUAAAGUGGCGUACGGGUGAGUAACACGUAGGUAAUCUACCCCAGAAUCUGGAAUAACCGGCCGAAAGGCUGGCUAAUACUGGAUAGAGCGACGGAAUCCGUAAUUGGGUUUUUCGGGAAAGGGAGCCUGUAAAAAGGCCUUCGUUCUGGGAUGAGCCUGCGUCCCAUCAGCUAGUUGGUGAGGUAAAAGCUUACCAAGGCAAUGACGGGUAGCUGGUCUGAGAGGACGAUCAGCCACACUGGAACUGAAACACGGUCCAGACUCCUACGGGAGGCAGCAGUGGGGAAUCUUGCGCAAUGGACGAGAGUCUGACGCAGCAACGCCGCGUGAGUGAAGAAGGCCUUCGGGUUGUAAAGCACUGUCGAGUGGGACGAAAAUGCUUGGAGUUCACAGCUCCAGGAACUGACGGUACCACUAAAGGAAGCACCGGCUAACUCCGUG
This 502-nucleotide ribosomal RNA is filed under the name uncultured bacterium. Its description in RNAcentral is "partial 16S ribosomal RNA". It matches the Rfam family "Bacterial small subunit ribosomal RNA", at positions 29 to 507 of the family's 1533-position model. The record is from RNAcentral.